UGCUACGUCACGUGCGUGGCGGUGUUUACCGCGGCUGGCGGUGGUUGCUUGGCAACCGCGGCGGAGGCUGCGGCCUCCUCGUCCCGGGCGCUCCUCGGCCCCGGGGGAGCUGAGGGGCCGGCCGGCAGAGGAAUAAAUGAAGAAAGAAGGAAGAAAGGAAAGAAAGAAGGAAGUUCAUAAGAAACUGAGUAUCACCUCCAGGCAGUGCCACCUUUUUCCCCCCAGUGGAGCUGUAAUCUGACUUUCUUUAGAUCUCCAGGGUACAGCAAUUAGACUGCUCAAGGAGUGAGGCUUGCUGCCAGCUGACAAUGGAGCUUGAGAUGGAGCUGCACAUCACAGACAGGAUCAGAACUUGCUAUUCACAGAGUUCCUCCUUGGCUCCAGUGGUGUAAAGCCAGUUCCUGCUACAUGGAAAAAUUGCUCCAUUACAUGCAAAAAAUUAAAUUCAAGCAGCUUGGAUUUAUUUGAUGUAACACCAACACAGCUCUGGGAUGAUCCCAUUAAGAGCACUGCAGUCAUGCUCUGUUUCUAAAAGGAUAUCUAAAGAUAACCCAAGCCAAGAAGAUCUAAGCUGAAGUUUUGUAAACAAGUAAGCUAAGACUCACACCUUGUACUCAACAGGACGAAAACAGCCAAACCAGAAGGUGUUAUAUAAAGACCAACAGAUGGGUCAGGUACAAGUUUACAUCCUUAUCAUUGGCUGUAUUUGACAGAAGCAAAACCAGGAAGUGCUGACUUCUUUGAGACUCUGAUUGAACAGAGUGGGGGAAAACCCCCCACCUUUUGAAAUAGCGCUGCUUUUUCUC
This 806-nucleotide long non-coding RNA is filed under the name Strigops habroptila (Kakapo). RNAcentral describes it as "lncRNA (ENSSHBG00005005937.1)". The record is from RNAcentral. Lineage: Eukaryota; Metazoa; Chordata; Aves; Psittaciformes; Psittacidae.